AUUGAACGCUGGCGGCAGGCCUAACACAUGCAAGUCGUGCGGAUGAAGGGAGCUUGCUCCUGGAUUCAGCGGCGGACGGGUGAGUAAUGCCUAGGAAUCUGCCUGGUAGUGGGGGAUAACGUCCGGAAACGGGCGCUAAUACCGCAUACGUCCUGAGGGAGAAAGUGGGGGAUCUUCGGACCUCACGCUAUCAGAUGAGCCUAGGUCGGAUUAGCUAGUUGGUGGGGUAAAGGCCUACCAAGGCGACGAUCCGUAACUGGUCUGAGAGGAUGAUCAGUCACACUGGAACUGAGACACGGUCCAGACUCCUACGGGAGGCAGCAGUGGGGAAUAUUGGACAAUGGGCGAAAGCCUGAUCCAGCCAUGCCGCGUGUGUGAAGAAGGCCUUCGGAUUGUAAAGCACUUUAAGUUGGGAGGAAGGGCAGUAAGUUAAUACCUUGCUGCUUUGACGUUACCAACAGAAUAAGCACCGGCUAACUUCGUG
This 484-nucleotide ribosomal RNA is filed under the name uncultured bacterium. RNAcentral's name for it is "partial 16S ribosomal RNA". It matches the Rfam family "Bacterial small subunit ribosomal RNA", at positions 30 to 507 of the family's 1533-position model. The record is from RNAcentral.